Molecule: ribosomal RNA, 448 nt
Filed under: uncultured bacterium
Lineage: Bacteria
Description: bacterial SSU rRNA
Rfam family: Bacterial small subunit ribosomal RNA
Source: RNAcentral
GCACCAGACUCCUACGGGAGGCAGCAGUGGGGAAUAUUGCACAAUGGGGGAAACCCUGAUGCAGCGACGCCGCGUGAGUGAAGAAGUAAUUCGUUAUGUAAAGCUCUAUCAGCAGGGAAGAAAAUGACGGUACCUGACUAAGAAGCCCCGGCUAACUACGUGCCAGCAGCCGCGGUAAUACGUAGGGGGCAAGCGUUGUCCGGAUUCACUGGGUGUAAAGGGAGCGUAGACGGCGACGCAAGUCUGGAGUGAAAGCCCGGGGCCCAACCCCGGGACUGCUCUGGAAACUGCGGGGCUGGAGUACGGGAGGGGCAGGCGGAAUUCCUGGUGUAGCGGUGAAAUGCGUAGAUAUCAGGAGGAACACCGGCGGCGAAGGCGGCCUGCUGGACCGUGACUGACGUUGAGGCUCGAGAGCGUGGGGAGCAAACAGGAUUAGAUACCCCCGUAC